AAAAUGUGAUGAAACUGAUGACGAGACUGAAAGAACAUUUCUUCGACCUAAGCUGUAUUUUUCAGCGUUAUUUCGAAUCAUAAAUGUUUCUUUAAGAUGAAUCGGCAAUCUGAUC
Scaptodrosophila lebanonensis is the source of this 115-nucleotide small nucleolar RNA. The record is from RefSeq and is a predicted model, not a curated record. NCBI's taxonomy places the organism in Eukaryota, Metazoa, Arthropoda, Insecta, Diptera, Drosophilidae.